CUUCUUCGGAAGAUGAGUGGCGAACGGGUGAGUAAUACAUAGGUAACCUGCCCCUGUGCGGGGGAUAACAGGAGGAAACUCCUGCUAAUACCGCAUAGCCAUGAGCACCGCAUGGAGCUCAUGCCAAAUAUCCUUUCGGGGAUAGCGCAGGGAUGGACCUAUGGCGCAUUAGCUUGUUGGCGGGGCAACGGCCCACCAAGGCAACGAUGCGUAGCCGGCCUGAGAGGGCGGACGGCCACAUUGGGACUGAGACACGGCCCAGAUUCCUACGGGAGGCAGCAGUAGGGAAUUUUCGGCAAUGGGGGAAACCCUGACCGAGCAACGCCGCGUGAGCGAAGAAGGCCUUCGGGUCGUAAAGCUCUGUUGUAAAGGAAGAACGGCGCAUACAGGAAAUGGUAUGCGAGUGACGGUACUUUACCAGAAAGCCACGGCUAACUACGUGCCAGCAGCCGCGGUAAUACGUAGGUGGCGAGCGUUAUCCGGAAUCAUUGGGCGUAAAGAGGGAGCAGGCGGCCGCAAGGGUCUGUGGUGAAAGACCGAAGCUAAACUUCGGUAAGCCAUGGAAACCGGGCGGCUAGAGUGCGGAAGAGGAUCGUGGAAUUCCAUGUGUAGCGGUGAAAUGCGUA
RNAcentral lists this ribosomal RNA (626 nucleotides) under uncultured bacterium. RNAcentral describes it as "bacterial SSU rRNA". It matches the Rfam family "Bacterial small subunit ribosomal RNA", at positions 75 to 692 of the family's 1533-position model. The record is from RNAcentral.